GACGAACGCUGGCGGCGUGCCUAAUACAUGCAAGUUGAGCGAUGAAGAUUGGUGCUUGCACCAAUUUGAAGAGCAGCGAACGGGUGAGUAACGCGUGGGGAAUCUGCCUUUGAGCGGGGGACAACAUUUGGAAACGAAUGCUAAUACCGCAUAACAACUUUAAACAUAAGUUUUAAGUUUGAAAGAUGCAAUUGCAUCACUCAAAGAUGAUCCCGCGUUGUAUUAGCUAGUUGGUGAGGUAAAGGCUCACCAAGGCGAUGAUACAUAGCCGACCUGAGAGGGUGGUCGGCCACAUUGGGACUGAGACACGGCCCAAACUCCUACGGGAGGCAGCAGUAGGGAAUCUUCGGCAAUGGACGAAAGUCUGACCGAGCAACGCCGCGUGAGUGAAGAAGGUUUUCGGAUCGUAAAACUCUGUUGGUAGAGAAGAACGUUGGUGAGAGUGGAAAGCCCAUCAAGUGACGGUAACUACCCAGAAAGGGACGGCUAACUACGUG
Molecule: ribosomal RNA, 497 nt
Filed under: uncultured bacterium
Lineage: Bacteria
Description: partial 16S ribosomal RNA
Rfam family: Bacterial small subunit ribosomal RNA
Source: RNAcentral